This 328-nucleotide long non-coding RNA is filed under the name Mytilus galloprovincialis (Mediterranean mussel). Lineage: Eukaryota; Metazoa; Mollusca; Bivalvia; Mytilida; Mytilidae. The record is from RNAcentral.
UUCAACUGAUUUUUAUAGCUUGUUCUUAUGUUGUACUGUUAAACUACUGUCACAUGUUGGUGGAGUGCUCACAAACAUGUUUAACCCUGCCACAACUUUUAAGUGCCUCUCCCAAGUCAAGAGCCUAAGUUCAGUGAUUGUUGGUGGUUCCAAUCUAAUUAAAAUUAAAUCUCUGCAAUUGCUCCUCAUUGUUUAUAUGUUGCUCAUGGUUCAUGUUUGCCAUUCUUGAUUUUUGUAAACUGUUUUGUUAUGAAUUAGACUGUUAAUUUUUUUAAAUUGAAUUGUUUCAUAUUUUCAUAUCAGGGCUUUUUGUAUAGCCUACCUUAUG